Molecule: long non-coding RNA, 2589 nt
Organism: Paramisgurnus dabryanus
Lineage: Eukaryota; Metazoa; Chordata; Actinopteri; Cypriniformes; Cobitidae
Source: RefSeq, a predicted model, not a curated record
AAUGGAAAUUUAUUCUUUAUGCAUUUAUAUUAUUUUUGUACUCUUCAGUGUAUGAUUUAUGUCAGUCAUGACAUUUUAAUCUGCGUGGGGUGAAGUCUAGGACAGGAAGUCUAGCUCGAUAGAGCUCGGGAUAGGAAGUAUGGCAAGGUGCAAGUGUGGUUUUUGUUUGUGUGAUGAUGUGCUUAAAGAACCUAUGUAUCGUCUGCCUGGAUACAAGUAGAGUAAAUAUAACCACCCAGAAGUGUCUAAACUACACCUAAUAAGGAGUUGUUUUGAUCGAAUAGCAUGGGGGGGGUGGUACAAACUCAAUGUCAGUAUAUAAUGAAGGAAGGAUUUGAGAUUCUUCACUUCUUCACAUAUCGUUUCACUGUCGUUAUGUGUCGAGUCCUUGUACAAGUAAAUAAAUCAUCUCUGAUGGACAGAUCCUGGUAUUCGUAUUAUUUUUCCACGACAAUUGCAACACGGUUCUGGCUAGAAGGGAUACAGCUACGAACAAAUCUAGCAAGAUAUUGGGUUUAGGGUUAGGUUUAUGGGUAGGAUUAGGACGAAAAACAGUGGUUCAGGCUAGAUAGGAUAAAGUUACGGCCUAAGUCCUAUACAAUGUUGGGUUUAGGGUUAGGAUAAUGCUGCGGUAGAGGCGUGAAGCGCAAGUGAUUUCAAUGUUAAGUCAAUGUGAAGACGCGUUGACGUGCGUCUGGAGGUUCCGAGGCGCGGAUGAGGCGUUUGCCGCAUCUGCCGCGUUUCCGCCUCAUUCGCGCGUCUAGCUUGCUCGAAAGGCGCGAAUUGAGCGUUGUGCGUGGUACGCGCGAAUUGUGCUUUUGUGCAUUUUGUGUUUGACGCGAAUUGCAGGCUGACGCCCGAGUUGAAAAAUUUGAACUUUGUCGGAAUUUCGCACCACAUUAACCAAUCAGGAGCCUGCUUGCCCCGCCGGAGUCACUUAUUCAACCUGAAGUAACGCUUGAUAUUGUCCGUAAGCUGUCACCCUAUACGACAAGUUCUUUCUAUAGAGACAGGAAUAAAAAGGACCUCGCUUGGAAGAGUGUCAGUGAGGACAUCGGGCAACCUGUCCCCUUUGCUCCAUCUGGAGUUUGAGACACAGUCAGGGAUUCGACAGGGUUUGGUAGAGGGGGGACGGGGGAGUCGAGAACAUUUAGACUCCUGCGUUUUGUGUUCACCCUCAAUUACACAAGAGAUCUCUCGAUGCUGCAGACCAUUCCCACACGAUGACGAACACUACAGACAAUAACACAGUACACAGUCUUGCGAUGGAAAGAGCGUAUGACUUGCUGUCUUCCACUUGGGGCACCUCCCACCUCUGCACCGCUUUUGCUUAUGUGGGAGGGGCAGGUGCAUGCAGUUCUCCUCUGUGAUUGGCUGGCCGGACUGACUGGCGCACGUCACAUUACGAUAUCUGAAGCCUUUCCCACAGGAAGCAGAGCACUGCAAGAAGAUGAGAAACAAAGUUCAACACUUGUUAAUCAUAAACCACAACUAACAAUAGCAAAUAUGGGCUUUUAAGUUUGUGUGCUAGUUCAAGUGAAUAUUUUGGACAAUUUAUGGAAAAUCCUUUUUUAGUAAUCAGUGUUAAACUUUUUAUAUUUAUUACAGUUUAAAUCAAAUUUUAAUUAAUGAUUAAUGUAGGACAGAAAUUUCUGGACUUUUAUAAUGCAGUGUUUAAAAAAAAUAGUAGCAGGUAACUAGUAUUAUACUAUCGGAUUUAUCAUAUAUUGGAUUUAUUGUAUACGUAGAAAAUAAAAUAGUGUGUCUUUGAAUCAUAAAGAAUGGCUAUCACAAAAUAAUUGUCAAGCUUUUCCGGUUCUGGGUUUAUGGAGCACACAAGGAUUUAAACCUUUGACUAUAACGCUCAGCACUUUAGCGGAGCUGAAAGGAGGGGAGAAGCUUGGGCCCCAGGAUGGGAGAGGAACGAAUAAUCAAAGGGCCUGAUCGAGAGAGGAUGAAUGUGAGGCGACAAGUCUGAGGUUAAACGAGUGCAUUACCCAGCAUGCUUACAUAGAAUACAGGAACUACGAGAGCACAGCUCCCUAACUGGAUAAUGCGCUCCUGUGAAUAACUUUUCAAGUUACUGAAAGUGUGUCAUGGGUGUAUUUAAGUUUGAAAGCAGAACAAAAAACACUGAACAAUCAUUUAAGUUUUAACUUUUAAAUCAAUAUAUAUUUGUUAUAAAUAAUUACAGCACCAAUAUAUACAAUUGGUUUAAAUGAAUACAAACUGUACAAAAUUGAAGAACAUAUACAAGGGCAGCAAAAUAACAAAGUAUAAACAAAUAUACAUUCCUUUUCAAAACUAAACCACCAUUUAACACUGUUUUAAUCCACUUUGUGAGAAUAUAAGUGUUACCCUAAAGAGGCGUCAGUAUUGUAAGAUUUUUAUCAGCCAAGAUUUACAGAUGCAUUGCAUAUGAACUGUGCAGAUUGCAGAUGUGUACUUGUUUAUGUGGACAGGCUGUCUGUUUAGUUUACUGUCAGCAAGAUACUGCUGGGGGUUUAAAUCUACACAAGUCCCUGUUGCUCUCAUUACUAUCUUUAUUAAAGCAUCAUUUAAAUUGCGUUGAGUCGCUCUUAUCAAAAU